AAUUAUUUUUCAAAAGGUCUGUUAGAAGUCUGUGCUGAUCUCCAACUGCAUGCCAGAGUAACGGAGAGACUUUGACAGCCCAGGUUAUCACAGUGCCUGCUGUUGCCACUCAGCUCUCCUAUAUGU
Molecule: small nucleolar RNA, 126 nt
Organism: Rattus norvegicus (Norway rat)
Lineage: Eukaryota; Metazoa; Chordata; Mammalia; Rodentia; Muridae
Product: small nucleolar RNA SNORA44
Source: Ensembl